Long non-coding RNA from Acanthopagrus latus (yellowfin seabream), 593 nucleotides. RefSeq lists it as uncharacterized. The transcript has 3 exons. NCBI's taxonomy places the organism in Eukaryota, Metazoa, Chordata, Actinopteri, Spariformes, Sparidae. The record is from RefSeq and is a predicted model, not a curated record.
AGCUUCGUGGUUUUUCCUGCUGGCUUUCCAGUCUUGGAUAGCAUCUCUUAGAAUAGUUUGCAGCUAGCUAACCAGUCAACCAUAACUGUCAAAAGGAGCUACUGUGGAGAGUUAAAAAUCACCACCAACACCUGUCUCUGCAGUGUCCACUUAGUUAUAUACAGUUACAGGGACUGUCACCAGGUAAAGUCUGGAUAUCUGAAGAGUCUGUUGACGCUGGUCAGUGGGGCUGAACCGCUCUGUCCCGGCUGGCGAAGGGGAGACGAAGCGCAGAUGAGAGGGAAUGUGAAGCUCUAAGCCGUUCAGCAAAGAUGACCCCAAGACGUGCUGGAGCCUUUUUUAAAUUAUGUUCAGUACCAGAUGCCUUGUACAUCAACCUCCUUUCCUUUGUUUGCAUUUGUGGAAUGCUAGGUGCCAGUUAGUUACCUUGUGCAUCAGCCUGUAUGCUACUUGAGGACUGCCCCCCUGAAGACCUCCCUUGGGCCACAUGCAAGUGAGCAAACAUAAUUUUUCUGGAAAGUUGAAAGUUCAAUAAAACUAUUUUCUUUUUAAAAAUAAGCAUCAUGUUCUAGUAUUUGAAUAUAUCACUUAAA